AUGUACCAAGCGUACACCCCGGUCCCUCCGCGACGUCCGCACCUUAGCUGACGACUAGUUGCUCCGUUUUGUUGGCC
Molecule: small RNA, 77 nt
Filed under: Xanthomonas campestris
Lineage: Bacteria; Pseudomonadati; Pseudomonadota; Gammaproteobacteria; Lysobacterales; Lysobacteraceae
Description: sRNA sX9
Rfam family: Xanthomonas sRNA sX9
Source: RNAcentral